AGAGUUUGAUCCUGGCUCAGAACGAACGCUGGCGGCAUGCCUAACACAUGCAAGUCGAACGAAGGCUUCGGCCUUAGUGGCGCACGGGUGCGUAACGCGUGGGGAUCUGCCCUUUGCUUCGGAAUAACAGUUAGAAAUGACUGCUAAUACCGGAUGAUGUCGUAAGACCAAAGAUUUAUCGGCAAAGGAUGAACCCGCGUAGGAUUAGCUAGUUGGUGGGGUAAAGGCCUACCAAGGCGACGAUCCUUAGCUGGUCUGAGAGGAUGAUCAGCCACACUGGGACUGAGACACGGCCCAGACUCCUACGGGAGGCAGCAGUGGGGAAUAUUGGACAAUGGGCGAAAGCCUGAUCCAGCAAUGCCGCGUGAGUGAUGAAGGCCUUCGGGUUGUAAAGCUCUUUUACCAGGGACGAUAAUGACGGUACCUGGAGAAUAAGCUCCGGCUAACUCCGUGCCAGCAGCCGCGGUAAUACGGAGGGAGCUAGCGUUGUUCGGAAUUACUGGGCGUAAAGCGCACGUAGGCGGCGACUCAAGUCAGAGGUGAAAGCCCGGGGCUCAACCCCGGAACUGCCUUUGAAACUAGGUUGCUAGAAUCUUGGAGAGGUCAGUGGAAUUCCGAGUGUAGAGGUGAAAUUCGUAGAUAUUCGGAAGAACACCAGUGGCGAAGGCGACUGACUGGACAAGUUAUUUGACGCUGAGGUGCGAAAGCGUGGGGAGCAAACAGCGAUUAGAUACCCUGGUAGUCCACGCCGUAAACGAUUGAUAACUAGCUGUCCGAGGCACUUGGGAGCUUGGGGUGGC
Molecule: ribosomal RNA, 800 nt
Filed under: uncultured bacterium
Lineage: Bacteria
Description: bacterial SSU rRNA
Rfam family: Bacterial small subunit ribosomal RNA
Source: RNAcentral